GAGGAAUAUUGGUCAAUGGACGGAAGUCUGAACCAGCCAAGUAGCGUGCAGGAAGACGGCCCUAUGGGUUGUAAACUGCUUUUAUACGAGAAUAAUUUGAUGCACGUGUGCGUUAUUGCAUGUAUCGUAUGAAUAAGGACCGGCUAAUUCCGUGCCAGCAGCCGCGGUAAUACGGAAGGUCCAGGCGUUAUCCGGAUUUAUUGGGUUUAAAGGGAGUGUAGGCGGUUUGUUAAGCGUGUUGUGGAAUUUAGGUGCUCAACAUUUAACUUGCAGCGCGAACUGUCAGACUUGAGUACACGCAACGUAUGCGGAAUUCAUGGUGUAGCGGUGAAAUGCUUAGAUAUCAUGAAGAACUCCGAUUGCGAAGGCAGCAUACGGGAGUGUAACUGACGCUUAAGCUCGAAGGUGCGGGUAUCGAACAGGAUUAGAUACCCUGGUAGUCCGCACAGUAAACGAUGGAUGCCCGCUGUUAGCGCCUGGCGUUAGCGGCUAAGCGAAAGCAUUAAGCAUCCCACCUGGGGAGUACGCCGGCAACGGUG
RNAcentral lists this ribosomal RNA (539 nucleotides) under uncultured bacterium. RNAcentral's name for it is "bacterial SSU rRNA". It matches the Rfam family "Bacterial small subunit ribosomal RNA", at positions 356 to 896 of the family's 1533-position model. The record is from RNAcentral.